Suncus etruscus (white-toothed pygmy shrew) is the source of this 108-nucleotide small nuclear RNA. Lineage: Eukaryota; Metazoa; Chordata; Mammalia; Eulipotyphla; Soricidae. The record is from RefSeq and is a predicted model, not a curated record.
GUGCUCACUUCAGCAGCACAUCUACUAAAAUUGGAACCAUACAGAGAAUAUUAACAUGGCCCCUGCAAAUUUGUGAAGCAUUCCAUAUUUAAAAAAAAUAAAAAUAUU